Passer domesticus (house sparrow) is the source of this 4074-nucleotide RNA transcript. It is a transcript of the gene named KH domain containing 4, pre-mRNA splicing factor, with no coding region annotated. The record is from RefSeq and is a predicted model, not a curated record. Lineage: Eukaryota; Metazoa; Chordata; Aves; Passeriformes; Passeridae. The transcript has 14 exons.
CGGCGGCGCGCGGCGGGCGCGGGGCCGGAAGUGACGGCCGGGAGCGGCGGCGGCCAUGUCGGCGGGCGGCGGAGCGCAGCGGGACGCGGCGGCCGCGGGCGGGCGCCGCAGCAAGUGGGAUCAGCCCGGCCCGGCGCCCAGCUUCCUGCUGGCCGGCACGGCGCCGCUGCCCGGGCGGCCGUUCCCCGGCGGGGGCGGCGAUGGCGGCGCCGCCGUGGCCGGCUCCGAGAGCUCGGCGGCGCCCUCGGGAGCGCUGGAUGCGGCCGCGGCCGUGGCGGCGAAGAUCAACGCGAUGCUGAUGGCCAAAGGGAAGCUGAAGCCGGCGCCCAGCACGGCGGACAAGCUGCAGGCUCUGGGGAAAGGCCCAGCCACGAGUAAGAGCAAAGAUGACCUGGUGGUGGCCGAGGUGGAGAUCAAUGAUGUCCCCCUGACGUGCAGGAACCUGCUGACCAGGGGCCAGACCCAGGACGAGAUCAGUCGUCUGAGUGGAGCAGCUGUCUCCACUCGUGGGAGGUUCAUGACUGCAGAAGAGAAAGCCAAAGUGGGACCUGGAGAUCGUCCUUUGUAUCUUCAUGUUCAGGGUCAGACACGGGAGUUGGUUGACAGAGCUGUGAACAGGAUCAAGGAGAUCAUCACCAACGGGGUGGUGAAGGCAGCCACGGGCUCCAGCCCCACCUUCAACGGGGCCACGGUCACUGUGUACCACCAGCCAGCCCCCCUCACCCAGAUAACCCCAGCUGUUGGCCAGAAACCUCCCUUCCAGUCAGGGAUGCAUUAUGUCCAGGACAAGCUGUUUGUGGGGCUGGAGCAUGCUGUUCCCACCUUUAAUGUGAAGGAGAAGGUGGAAGGGCCUGGCUGCUCCUACUUGCAGCACAUCCAGAUUGAAACUGGUGCCAAAGUCUUUCUCCGUGGGAAAGGCUCAGGUUGCAUCGAGCCAGCAUCAGGCAGGGAAGCCUUUGAGCCCAUGUACAUCUACAUCAGUCACCCAAAGCCAGAAGGUUUGGCAGCUGCUAAAAAGCUGUGUGAGAACCUCUUGCAAACAGUUCACGCCGAGUACUCCCGAUUUGUGAACCAGAUAACCACUGCAGUUCCCUUGGCAGGCUUCACCCAGCCAGCCACGAUCAGCAGCGUCCCUUCCCAGCCCUCCUACUACCCCUCCAACGGGUACCAGGCUGGCUACCCCGUGGUUGCCCCUCCUCAGCAGCCUGUGCAGCCCCCCUUUGGGGUGCCAGGGAUGGUGCCCCCUGCAGUGCCCCUGGCUCCUGGGGUGCUGCCAGCGCUGCCCACGGCCGUGCCCCCCGUGCCCACGCAGUACCCCAUAGCUCAGGUGCAGCCUGCAGCCAGCACCACGGGCCAGACUCCUCUGAGUGCUCCCUUCCUUCCUGCUGCCCCAGUAAAAACCAGCAUGCCAACUGGUGCCCAGCCCCCGGUGCAGCCCCCGCCCCAGGGCCAGAAGAGACGCUUCACGGAGGAGCUGCCUGACGAGAGGGAGUCAGGGCUGCUGGGAUACCAGCAUGGACCCAUUCAUAUGACUAAUUUAGGUACAGGCUUCUCCAGUCAGAGUGAAAUCCAGGGAGCCGCGGCGAAGGCAGCGAGUUCCUCAGGAAAGGAGAGAGAGAGGGACAGGCAGUUGAUGCCUCCACCAGCUUUUCCUGUCACUGGAAUGAAAUCAGAAUCCGAAGAAAGAAAAGGUGCGGGGUCUUUGCCAGGCAACCAUGGUGAGUGCAGUGGGUCAGACACCCCUCCAAGCCCAGUUUCCUGUCCCAAAGACCCCCCCAAGCCCAGUUUCCUGUCCCAAACACCCUUCCAAGCCCAGUUUCCUCUCCCAAGUGGUGCUGGUUUUAACAGUGUCAAAGCUGGUGGGGUUUUUUUGGCUGUUCUGUGUUGAAGUGCAAAGCAGGUGAUGUUGCACUGCUCCAAAUCACUGGUGCUUGCUUGUGGUUAUACACACAGGGUGCUUCUCAAAGCUUUAAUGAAUAUUUGUAUGAAAUGGGGGGGUUUAAUUAAGUGAGGGACUCAAGACAGGGAGUUUGACCCAUCAGAACAUGGUGGGGUUGUUUUGUGCCUCUGCAUUGUUACACACACAAGUGACUUCUCAAAGCCUUAAUAAAUAUGUGUGUUAAAUAAGGGGAGUUAAUCAAGUGAGGAACUCAAAACAGGGAGUUUGACCCAUCAGAAUGUGCUGGGGUUGUUUUGUGGCUCUCCAUUGUUAAACACACAGGUUGCUUCUCAAAGCCUUAAUAAAUAUUUGUUUGAAGUAAUGGGAGUUUAAUUAACUCAAAACAGGGAGUUUGACCCAUCAGGCAGCACAGAAUGUGCUGGGGUUGUUUUGUGGCUCUGCAUUGUUACCCACACAAGUGGCUUCUCAAAGCUUUAAUAAAUAUCUGUAUGAAAUGAGGAUAAUUUGAUUCAAUGAGAGACUAAAAACAGGGAGAUUUGACCUAUCAGAAUGUGGUGGGGUUGUUUUGUGCCUCUGCAUUGUUACACGCACAGGUUGCUUCUCAAAGCCUUAAUAAAUAUUUGUAUGAAAUAAGGGGAGUUUAAUUAUUAUAACUGUAACUGAGGGACUGAAGACAGGCAGAUUUGACCCAUCAGAAUGUGGUGGAGUUGUUUUGUGCCUCUGCAUUGUUACACACACAAGUGACUUCUCAAAGCUUUAAUAAAUAUCUGUGUGAAAUAAGAGGAGUUAAUCAAGUGAGGAACUCAAGACAGGGAGUUUGACCCAUCAGAAUGUGCUGGGGUUGUUUUGUGCCUCUGCAUUGUUACACAGGUGACUUCUCAAAGCUUUAAUAACUACCUGUGUGAAAUAAGGGGAGUUUAAUUAAGUGAGGGACUCAAGACAGGGAGUUCUGACCCAUCAGGCAGCACAGAACAUGGUGGGGUUGUUUUGUGGCUCUGCAUUGUUACACGCACAGGUUGCUUCUCAAAGCCUUAAUAAAUAUUUGUAUGAAAUAAGGGGAGUUUAAUUAUUAUUAUUAUUAUAAUUAUAACUGAGGGACUGAAGACAGGGAGUUCUGACCCAUCAGAAUGUGGUGGGGUUGUUUUGUGGCUCUGCAUUGUUAAACACACAGGUUGCUUCUCAAAACUUUAAUAAAUAUCUGUAUGAAAUAAGGGGAGUUUGAUUAAGUGAGGGACUCAAGACAGGAAGAUUUGAUCCAUCAGAAUGUGGUGGGGUUUUUUGUGGCUCUGCAUUGUUAAACACACAGGUGGCUUCUCAAAGCUUUAAUAAAUAUUUGUAUGAAAUAAGGGGAGUUUAAUUAACUAAAACCAGGGAGUUUGACCCAUCAGGCAGCACAGAACGUGCUGGGGUUGUUUUGUGGCUCUGCAUUGUGAGCAGAGGCCCUGAGGAAUGUGGGGGAGUUCUGCUCAGGUGGGGAUUUACACACAUUUCUGCCUGCAGACAGCACCAGUGCUGCCAGGAUUCCAUCUUUCCUGUCACUCAGCAGGGGUUUGAGCUUGUCAGGCUUGAGCUGUGCAGGCAGCUGAGUGCUUCAGCUCUGCAGGGACAUCACCCAGCCUGGUGAACCUUAGUUCUUCUGCAUCUUGCUCCCAGACAUUGCUCUCCUGUUAGCUUCCUUUUGAACAAAAUUUCUACUUUUCUUUACGUGUUGAUCUCUUGAAUUGCCCUCCCUGAGAGCCAUUUGCUAACUUUACCUUUUCUGUGUGUUUCUUUCUUGUUUCUGUGUUCUCUUACAUGGUUCUGGUGGAUCACAUGGCUGUUGCUGCUGCUGUUUCCUGUGGCCUUCGACCUUGGAUGACCAUUGGCCUUGUGACCUCAAAAUGGUGUCCAACUAACAAUUUACAAUUAACAUCUUUUUUUAUUAUUAUUAACUCGUUUUUGGGGCGUUUUAUCUCUUUUUAUUUGUUUUGUUUUUAUUUUUUCCUUCUUGGUGGGGGGCCGGGGGGGCUUGUUUUGUUUUCCCCUCCUAGAUCAUCAAGCCAAGAAGAUGAAAACUGCAGAGAAGGGCUUUGGAUUAGUGGCCUAUGCUGGAGAUUCUUCAGAUGAAGAGGAGGAGCACGGUGGCCAUAAAAACGCAAGUACUUUUUCACAGGGCUGGAGUUUGGGGUACCAGU